Molecule: ribosomal RNA, 253 nt
Filed under: uncultured bacterium
Lineage: Bacteria
Description: partial 16S ribosomal RNA
Rfam family: Bacterial small subunit ribosomal RNA
Source: RNAcentral
UACAGAGGUCUCAAGCGUUGUUCGGAUUCAUUGGGCGUAAAGGGUGCGUAGGCGGGUCUUUAAGUCAGGGGUGAAAUCCUGGAGCUCAACUCCAGAACUGCCUUUGAUACUGAAGAUCUUGAGUUCGGGAGAGGUGAGUGGAACUGCGAGUGUAGAGGUGAAAUUCGUAGAUAUUCGCAAGAACACCAGUGGCGAAGGCGGCUCACUGGCCCGGUACUGACGCUGAGGUGCGAAAGCGUGGGGAGCAAACAGG